CAUCCUACGGGGCGCAGCAGUGGGGAAUAUUGGACAAUGGGGGAAACCCUGAUCCAGGGACGCCGCGUGAGUGUAGAAGUAUUUCGGUACGUAAAGCUCUAUCAGCAGGAAAGAAAAUGACGGUACCUGACUAAGAAGCCCCGGCUAACUACGAGCCAGCAGCCGCGGUAAUACGUAGGGGGCAAGCGUUAUCCGGAUUUACUGGGCGUAAAGGGAGCGUAGACGGCAGCGCAAGUCUGGAGUGAAAUGC
Molecule: ribosomal RNA, 250 nt
Filed under: uncultured bacterium
Lineage: Bacteria
Description: partial 16S ribosomal RNA
Rfam family: Bacterial small subunit ribosomal RNA
Source: RNAcentral